GGUUGUGGCUCAGCGGUAGAGCACUUGGCUAGCAUGUGCGAGGCCCUGGGUUCAACCCUCAGCACCA
Molecule: transfer RNA, 67 nt
Filed under: Marmota monax (woodchuck)
Lineage: Eukaryota; Metazoa; Chordata; Mammalia; Rodentia; Sciuridae
Description: tRNA.Ala
Source: RNAcentral